GAAAAUACUGUCACUCCAUGCGAUUCUUCCUCGACAUUAGUCUGAAAUAAGUGCAAUAAGUGCCUUUGGCGAUCCAGAUUCGCUAAAUCUGUUGUAAUUGUAAUUGUAAUUAUAAUUGAUAGCUAUUCUUAUUCAUUUCCUUAAACAUAUUAUUGAUGCAGCUGAAAAACUGCACGAUAUUAGGUGG
RNAcentral lists this small RNA (187 nucleotides) under Oryza sativa Japonica Group (Japanese rice). Its description in RNAcentral is "sRNA Os01g0857975". The record is from RNAcentral. Lineage: Eukaryota; Viridiplantae; Streptophyta; Magnoliopsida; Poales; Poaceae.